Molecule: long non-coding RNA, 1538 nt
Organism: Vespa mandarinia (Asian giant hornet)
Lineage: Eukaryota; Metazoa; Arthropoda; Insecta; Hymenoptera; Vespidae
Source: RefSeq, a predicted model, not a curated record
UUAAUAAAAUCUUACACAUACCUACUUGUUAUUUUUAUAUAUUCUUUAUAAAUAAAAUCAUCGAUAUAUUCGUUUUGAACAUCAAUUAGAAUAGAUAUCCCCAAAUCUGAUCGAUGUAUGGCCCAAUUUUAUUCCGCACCUCUUCGUCCGAUGCAUAGGUUGUACCCUUAAGACAUAACAAUUGAAAUAAAAAUGGGAUACAAAAAGAAAAAGUAUCAUAAAAAUGAUGAAAAUAAUCUAUUAAGAUCACUGAAAUCUAUGAAAAGAGAAUUGAGUGAUCAAGAAGAACAACUUAAACGUCUUUUAUUAAGAUAAACGUCUUAAUGCAAAAAGUAGAAAAUACUCGUCAACGGAGUCAUCAGAGAGUGAUAAGUCCUCAGAUGAAAAAUUGCCCAUAAAAGGACACUUUAAUUUCUCAUGAGCAAAUAUUAAAAAAUUUACCCAAACCCAGUCAAAAAAUAGCUAAAAAGCCAGUGGAAAAGUCAGCUGGCUUACAAAGGACAACGAACAAAUAAACACCAGCAGUAGCUGCAGAUCCUUAAAUUAAAGAUCAGCAGUUAACUACAAAUGGAGCUGAAAAUUCAAGUGACAAAAAAACUCCGGAGAAAACAGAUGAAGAAACGGUGCCAAAUAAAUCAGAAGCAAUUGGAAAGCAGUUGGAUGGUGACAAGGAAAGAACAUCAGCGGUUCAUAGUGACAUGCUUACGUUGGAAAGACGUUCUUAAAGAAGGACAUCCAAUAGAGGAACGCGAAUGAUUUUUUAGAAAGUAUCCAACUCCUGAAAAAUGUUUAACGUUAGAACUUCAGUAUAUGAAUGCUCAAAUAAAAUCGUCACUUUUAGAGCCAAUCAUAAAUAAAGAUAAAAGGCUUGUAAAAAAACAGCAAAAUGUCCGUUCUUGCUUAUUUGCCUUGGAACACUUAAUUGCAUAAUUUUUUUAAAAGGGAAUAUUUAUUUCCGAGUUAUUGUCUGGAAAUAUUUACAGAUGCGUCACUAAUGAGAUGUAAAGCCCAUUGUGAUGGGCAAACCACAAAUGGUUUUUGGAGUAAAGUCGAUAAGGAGUCUCCAAUUAAUCAUCUUUAAUUCUUUAGAGCUUUCUUUAAAUUAAAAUGUUUUGCAAAUAAUAGACGAAACUGUGAUAUUCUCUUACGGAUUGAUAAUACAACACCGAUUGUCUGUAUUAAUCGUAUGGGAGAUUCUCAAUUUAAAAGACUAAGCAAUAGGGCAAAAGUAAUCUGGAAAUGAUGUGGGGAAAGAAAUAUCUGGAUAUUAUCCUCGUAUGUUCAAUUUAGAGAAAAUAAGAUUGCAGAUCUUGUAUCUAGGAGACUAAAGUCAGAGACAAAAUACGAGUUAAGUAAGGAAGCAUUUAAUAAAAUCUGUAAUAAAUUUGCUAACCCGGAAGUAGACUUGUUCGAAUAAACACAUAGUGCAAUAAAUAUAUUUCAUGGAAGAAAAAUCCGGAUGCGAUGACAGCUGUCGCAUUCACUGUCAAUUGGAGCUUAUGGUUUUUGCUUUUUGUUUUCAUCUCAAGAAUCUUGAG